ACUAAAAAGCUAGCUUAAUCAUCUAAAUACACAAAACAACAUUAAAACUCUUUACAAGACCACAAUAAUUUAAACCAAAACAUUUUACCGCCCUAGUAUGUGAGACAGAAAAGGCCCCCCAAAGCCAUAGUAAAAGUACCGCAAGGGAACGCUGAAAGAGAAAUGAAACAAAUCAUUUAAGUGCUAUAAAGCAGAGACUCACCCUCGUACCUUUUGCAUCAUGAUUUAGCCAACCUAUCUGAGCAAAGAGAACUUUAGUUCAAGCCCCCGAAACUAAGUGAGCUACCCCGAGACAGCCUAUUAAUUUAGGGCCAACCCGUCUCUGUGGCAAAAGAGUGGGAAGAUCUCCAGGUAGAGGUGACAGACCUACCGAACUUAGUUAUAGCUGGUUGCCUAGGAAAUGAAUAGAAGUUCAGCCUUGCACUCCUUAACUCACCAUCUUUAUAUCCAGCACGAGUCAGAGAAACAUGCAAGAGUUAAUCACAGGGGGUACAGCCCCUAUGAUUCAGGAUACAACCUCACCAGGAGGUUAAAGAUUAUAUUAACUAAGAUACAUGCUGCUCUAGUGGGCCUAAAAGCAGCCACCUAAAUAGAAAGCGUUAAAGCUCCAGCAGACAAAAAUCCAUUAUCCAAAUAACUAUAUCUAAAACCCCUAACUGUACUAGGCCGUCCCAUGCUAAACAUGGGAAAGACACUGCUAAAAUGAGUAACAAGAAGUUAUUAACGAACUUCUCCCAGCCUACGUGUACGCUAGAUCGAACCCCUCACUAGCAAUUACCGAGCCCAACAAAAGAGGGCAAUGUGCAAAAACUAAAGAACAAGAAAACACCACACAACUUAAUCGUUAGUCCCACACCGGAAGGCCUUAUAAGGGAAAGACUAAAAGAAAAGGAAGGAACUCGGCAAACAAAAGCCUCGCCUGUUUACCAAAAACAUCGCCUCCUGCAAAAAUCGAAGUAUAGGAGGUCUUGCCUGCCCAGUGAUAAAUUAAACGGCCGCGGUAUUUUGACCGUGCGAAGGUAGCGCAAUCACUUGUCUUUUAAAUGAAGACCUGUAUGAAUGGCUAAACGAGGGCUUAACUGUCUCCCCUCUCCAGUCAGUGAAAUUGAUCUGCCCGUGCAGAAGCGGACAUAAAAAUACAAGACGAGAAGACCCUUUGGAGCUUAAGAUACAAGAUCAACCAUGUCAAGAAUACAAAACAAGUUAAACUAAAUGGCACUUGAUCCCUAUCUUCGGUUGGGGCGACCACGGGAGAAAACAAAUCUCCCAUGCGGACUGGGGUUAAUACCCUAAAACCAAGAAAGACACUUCUAAGUAACAAAACAUUUGACCAUAUAAGAUCCGGCAAACGCCGAUCAACGAACCAAGUUACCCUAGGGAUAACAGCGCAAUCCCCUUUCAGAGUCCAUAUCGACAAGGGGGUUUACGACCUCGAUGUUGGAUCAGGACAUCCUAAUGGUGCAGCCGCUAUUAAGGGUUCGUUUGUUCAACGAUUAAAGUCCUACGUGAUCUGAGUUCAGACCGGAGCAAUCCAGGUCAGUUUCUAUCUGUAAUGACACUUCUUCCCAGUACGAAAGGACCGGAAAAAGGGGGCCUAUACCGCCAGUACGCCCCACCCCUACUUAAUGAAAACAACUAAAUUAAACAA
RNAcentral lists this ribosomal RNA (1648 nucleotides) under Duringlanis perugiae. RNAcentral describes it as "16S rRNA". The stretch from base 99 to 1570 matches the Rfam family "Bacterial large subunit ribosomal RNA". The record is from RNAcentral. Lineage: Eukaryota; Metazoa; Chordata; Actinopteri; Siluriformes; Auchenipteridae.